GUGGAACCGAAAAGUAGCAGUUCAGAACGAAGAUUUGCAAAUGACUUAAAUUUGCACAAAAACGCGAUAAAUUCUUAAUUAAACUAAUCGGAAACGCAAAGAUUGCGUAUUAACAUAUAGAAAUAACUAAAUUUUAUAAAUUAUUGAAAUAUUAAACGACGCGAAAACGAACGAAACCAAAGUGCUGCACAUGAAUUAGUGAAAAUGUAAUUUCUCUGCUGCACGACUACGAAAAAGAAGACGACGACGAAGCAAAAAAUAAAAGAAAGGCAAAGAUAAAAAUAAAAAUCUGUGACAGGCACUGGUGUAAAUAUCCAAAUCCUUUCGGAUUGGUAAAAACUACAUUAACGUGGACGAAUGCGGCCUAAACAGGACUGUUUUAUAUGUUGCAAACGAGAAAUAUUAAAUUCAUGUAUAUACAUACAUAUUGCGUAUAAUGUAUAGAGGAUAGGGAAGAAGAAUAGCACUAAAACAAAACGACAUAGUCGACGAAGAAGAAGAACGGAGUUGCGGAUAAGAGAUAUUUCUGCGGGCCAGACGAAAAGCGAAUUUUUUUUAUUUAUACAAAAUCGAAACUAUUGUGAAGCAUAAAAACUGUUGUGGAGAUUAGAAUAGGUGUGGAGAACACUGACUGCGUAAACUCCAGCAGUCUACAACAGCUUUUCGGUGCUAAUUACGAAUGGCUUAUAAACGGAUGCACGGAAGACUUCCUGCACACACACUCUCGUUUGGCGCUAGAGGACAAUAGACACCCUCUAACGUUUGGACAGCAUAUUAUUUUGUUACUUUUUUAAUUUUGGAAAGCACCUGUUAAUCACUUAUAUGCCUGCACACUGUUUAACCAAUAACGAUCACUUGCCGUCUGAAACCAAACCAAUGCUCGCUAUCAACGAGGAGCAACACUCGGAAGCGUCACACGCACGCAACCAUAGCGAUAGCAAUGGAGAAAUGCAUGCCAAUGGCAAUGCCAACAUCACCAACCAACAACAACGUCAACAAACUGCCGGCAGCAAUAACAACAGCAGCAGUGCUCACGAAACAACACAGUUACCACCAUUACCAGACGGGCCGCUGUGGUCGGUGCUUUACGAUUACGAUGCCAAAGGCGAGGAUGAGUUGACACUGCGUCGCGGUCAGAUUGUAGUGGUGUUAUCCAUGGAUAGCAAUAUUUCGGGUGAUGAGGGCUGGUGGACAGGCAAAAUUGGCGAUAAGGUCGGCAUUUUUCCCAGUAACUUUGUGACAGACCAAGAUCCUAUGCUGGCGGGCGUGCCCUCAGCUAUUGGAGACAUACAACCGCACGAAAUUGACUAUGCCGAACUCGAGGUGGGCGAGGUGAUAGGCGCUGGCGGCUUUUGCAAGGUGCAUCGCGGCUAUUACAGCGGCGAAGAGGUUGCCAUUAAAGUGGCGCCGCAAGCUGGCCCGGAUGUCGAAUCGAAUCGCGACAAUGUGCUACAAGAAGCGAAGUUAUUCUGGGUCGUCAAACACGAAAACAUAGUGGCACUGCGUGGCGUCUGCCUAAAGCCGCCCGAUCUGUGUCUUGUGAUGGAGUAUGCGCGUGGCGGCAGUUUAAACCACAUUUUGGCGCGUGGCAAGAUACCACCCGAUGUGCUGGUUAACUGGGCGAUACAGAUAGCACGCGGCAUGAAUUAUCUGCACAACGAAGCACCCAUCUCGAUUAUACACCGCGAUCUGAAGAGUUCCAAUGUGCUUAUUUUGGAAGAAAUCAUUGCCGGCAAUCUGCACAAUAAAACACUGAAGAUCACCGAUUUCGGUUUGGCGAGAGAGCUUUACAACACAACACGCAUAUCAACGGCGGGCACAUACGCUUGGAUGCCGCCGGAAGUGAUAAAAAGCAGCACGUACUCCAAAUCAUCGGAUGUUUGGAGCUACGGUGUGCUGCUGUGGGAGCUCAUCACAGGCGAAACGCCAUACAAAGGUUUCGAUUCGUAUUCAGUCGUGUUUGGCAUAGCAGUGAAUAUGCUAACGCUGCCUAUACCAAAAACUUGCCCGGAUGCAUGGGGAAAACUCAUGAAAAGCUGCUGGGAGAAUGACCCGCAUAAGCGACCAGGUUUCAGGGACAUAUUAACGAAGUUGGAAGACAUUACACGUUCAGGUUUCACGCUGACGCCACAGGAAUCGUUCAACACAAUGCAAGAUGCCUGGAAGAAGGAGAUAGCCGAAGUGCUGCAAGAGUUGCGCUUGAAAGAAAAGGAAUUGCGCACCAAAGAGGAACGCUUGAAUCGCGUUCAGAGCGAACAGGACGAACAGGCCAUGAAUCUGAAACGCUUCGCCGAGCAGUUAAAACUGCGCGAGAUGGCCUUAAUCGGGCGAGAGCUGCAAAUUGCACAACAAACACCAACGCCGAAUCGUAGGCGUGGCAAGUUUAGCAAAGUGAAACUUAAACUGCUAAAAAAGAACGAAGUGCAAAUUUCACUCCCAACCGAUUUCCGGCACACAGUGACAGCAAUACACGACAAACCCUUGACUGAUACACCGCCUGGCUCACCAGCAAUUUCCCAAGUGCGCAUCGUGGCACGCUACAAUUCCAAAGACUGGUGUUCGCCUUUACACGCGCUGCCAGCCGCCGCUGGCGCCGGCACUUCCAUCGUGGACGCGCCGCUGCCCAUUAUGUCGCCCAAUCCCUACCUGCUGAGCCGCUUUACUUCCAACAUUCCCAUGCCCACGCUGUACGCCGGCGAUGCGGUGCGCAAGCCGAAGCUUUCCGUCAUUGAAGUGUUGCUCUACAAUAUGGCCGCGCUGCUUGCCGGCGUCGCCGCUGGCUAUGACGUGCGCAUCUCGAACGUGUCGCCGGUGCAUCCAAUGCUGCUUAGUGAUGUGCCCGCAUUAAAGGCACCCAUGGAAAUGGAGUUUCCGAGUGUUUUAGAUGAGCGCAGCCGCUUUGCCGCCAACACUUAUCAUGGCACUGGCAACAAACACAAUCGCGCCACAUUGAAUGCAGCCACAUUCACGCGUUUAGAGGAACAACGCGCUCCUCUGCAUCAGAAUCCGCGCGGCUCGCCCAAACUGCAUGCCGCUACGCCUAGCUUUUACUUCCAAAAGCAUGCGCUGCCCCCAGCUGACAGCAAGCUGGCAUUGCAACAGCAGAAGCAAACACUGCAACAUCAGCAGCUGCCGCUAACCGGAUCCACCACAAGCGGCUUAGGCUCCAAUUUCACCAACAAUACCUCCGCGCUGCUUUCGUCUUCAUUGGGCAGUCAUACGCAGCCUCCAACACCUUCGCCGCGUCGGAAAAUCAGCACCUCUUCAUUUACUGAGAAUCUCGAGUAUUCGCUUCAUGAUGACACGCCACCAACGCGCCGUUUUGAUGACGACUUUAACGCUGGCAGUGGCAUGCCGCCCUCCGCAACGCAAUAUACGCGCGCUGAUUAUUUGCGUCACGGACCGAGCUUCUCCAAUGAUGGUGGCGCUUAUGGCGCAGGCGUGCAUCGUGCUGACUACUUCGGCUCCAACUAUUUUCCGUAUCGGCCAGAGGUGCAGUUGGCGUAUCAACGCGACUGUAAAUCGUAUCCUGACUACUCUUACGACUACAAUCACCGCCUGCCCAAUUACUACGACUACAACUACGACCCACAGCAGCCGCACCAGCAAUCAACGCCAAAGCAUCAGCAGCAACACUAUCAAACGCGUACACCGCCGCCGCGCGUACCCCAAAUGGGCGUCAGCGCUGCUGGACACCGACGCACACCAUCAACUAUCUCCAAUAGCUCCAACAUCAAUCAGGGCUUCUCUUUCGAUCACGAUGAGCUGCAUGCGGCAGAUUUAUAUGACUACAACAAUCUCAAUUUGCAACUGAACAUUAAUAUGGGCGCCGGCGGAGCGCCUGACUUUGCGCACUACCGCGAACUACCGCCACCACCUCCUGCACCGAUUGGCGUAGUGCCACCGCCCAGCAAACAUGAGCUGUAUAAGAGCUCACCCAAGAUGGCCCAGCGUUUGAAACGCGGCGGUGCAGGCGGCAGCAUGGGCGGUGCCGACACAGGAGGCGGCUUAAAUCGCAUUCGCGACUAUGAAAAUUUACCCGCGUACAUUGGUAGCCCAUUGCACCGGACAAAGUUUCACAACACCUUGGCCCAGCAGCAACAUCUGCAACAAUUGCAGCGGGAACGCGAGCAACAACAUCAGUCCCUCUUUAGUACACCGCAGCAUAGUCUUUACACGCACACCACACACGCGCAAUCAACGCCGCUGAGUCCGGUACACAUGAAACCGUUAAGCGCGCAAGAGCGGCCAGUUUCGCUACCUUUCGAACAGACAACAGCGGCGCUAGGCUUCAAUGGCAGUGGUUCCAACAAACUGCGUUCGUCGCUCAAAAAAUUCAACUAUAAAACGCCUAAUGGUGGCGCAGCGUCUAAUACCGGUAAUGGCGCUGAAUUGGUGGGCGCCAACAUGAGCAAUGGGCUUACCGUAGUGGGUGGCAACGGUGUCGCCAAGCGCACCGGCAGCAUUUCUUCACAGCAGGGCACGCCCACUAAUCCCACUCCCCCCGAUUCGCUCACUAGUGAUGACAGCUCGUAUCUGAGUGCCAAAGAGGGCUCCAUUUCCUCGCAGCACAGCCGUGUGCGUUUCAGCCCCGAAGCGUUUCUGGACGCCAGCAGCGGCAACGGCAGCUUUAACAAUAGCAACAACAACAACGGUGGCAGCGGCAGCGCGAGUGGCUAUCUCAAUCAAUCCACAAUAUCGCUUUUCAAUCGACGCAUAUCGCGGCGCCACACCAGCGACAUGUCCGCCGGCACCCCACCAUCCUCCUAGCAGGGCAGCGCCGCACGCUUCACCAAUACAACACUGCAGUUGGCGCGCAGUCCAGGCGCUUUGGUCAGCAGUUCAUUGUCGUUGAAUUCGCCACAGCAACAGCAGCUAUCCACGUCGGCGCAACACUCAAUGCAGCAGCUUCCAUAUCGCUGGUACUCGGGUGCACGAAGAUCGCGUUCAGCACACUACGAAUAUAGGUUGUAAGCAAAGAAGCAAGUAGUGAGAGGCGAUUAAAGCUCAAAAAUCAUUAUUGGAUAAGAAGAAAGCGACGCAAGCGGUGAGCAGGAGAAAACUUGUAUGUUGUAUAAAGGGACGCUUGGUGUUCCCAAUAAUCGCUGUAACAUUUUCGGUUUCCACUUCUAAAUAAAUAAUUAGGGCGUACAACCAAAGGAGAUGUACAUAGAACUUACAACUUAGCGACUAGACAGACUCAAUUACAACUGAGCGCGCUGAAUGAAACAAACUGCACGGAUAUACACAUUUUAGAAUGCUUCGGUACAAAUGCGAAAUUCUAAUAACAAGCUGAAUGGCGCUGAAUAAACUAUACGUCUGUUUUGAAAGCGAAUUAUUGACUAAAAAGCCAAGCUUAAACAUCGCACGCGAAACUAACACACUAUAUAACGCGCUGAAUACAUUUUACCAUAGCUGAAUAGCGUUUAACUACGCAACAGAAGAAGGCGCAUCCUAAUAGAUUUAUAAAAACGCAAAACAAAAGCGAUUUGCUAAUUACUCCAAACAUGCCAAUCAUUCAACUAACACUUAAUUGGUUUUGCCAAACAUACAUAUGUAUGUACAUACCUAUUUAAUAGCAAGGAUGAACUCUUAAAACGCUAAGUAUUUGUAUAUAACCACAUACAUGUAAGCAAUCAUACACAAUUCCUAUUGCUGCUUAUUUUGAAAACAAAAACUUGGUAAAGCUUGCAAUUUACGCAAAAAUUGUCAUUGAAAUUGAGCUACAAGCUGUAAAUCGAUAAUGAAAACUCUAUGAAAAUGAAAUUUUUCAAAAUCGCCUGAUGCUGUUUGCGCAUUUUCGAAAAUAUUAUAUAAAAACUAAAAAUAAAUCCUUUAUCAAUGUGAAAUUGUAUUCAAUUGAUGCCUUAACAAAAAAUUAUGGAAAAAUUAAAAACUCAAGCAAAACACGAAAAUCAUAAAAAUUUGUGUAUUCGAAAAACAAUCAGAGGAAAAAAAACGGUAAAUUGAAAAGCUCUCAAAAUGUAUUAUACGAGAGAUAUUCGCUUUUGAAUUACCAUGAUAAGAAUUUGUAAGUUUCUUCUUCAUCUCUAUAUACUGACGGAGAGUUAGGUAUAACUUUAAGGCUGAUGUUAUUUCAUAAGUGUAGAGUAUGUAUGCAUUGCCGUUAUACAUGUGGUACAUAUGUACAUAUAAAUAUUAAUAAUCGACAGGAAAAGCAAAAUGAAGAAGUACUAUGUUUCUGAAUUCAUAAUUAAAAACAAGUUAAAAAAGAAAGAAAAAAUUACAUAAUAAAAUUAAUACAGUCAAUACUCGUUAGCUUGAACAAUGUACCGCCUUGCAAAAUAACUGCAAACACAAAUACGCUGGCGUAAGAAUAUUUUUUAAUUAAAAAAAUUAAUUUUCUUGAAAUCAGUUCCGAUCGACGCCGCUUGACUUUGUGAUGUAUAUAAAGGAUAUAUGUAUUUAUAUUAUAUAUUUGUAUAUCCUAAGUGAGCGCUGCGGAAACUCUUUCACAAUUUUCCUUGGCAAUAAGAAUUAUAUACCACAAGCGUUUGAGCGUGAAAAGUCGGCGUCUUUAUCUUUAAAUGCAUUCAAAUUGUUUCGGUUUUUCUCAUAAAAAUCAAUAACAAAAUGAUAUAAUACUCAAACCUGAACAGAAAGUUAAAAAAUCUGGCUCUCGAGUAAAGUUCGGUUAGAAUUCGAUCCGAAAAGGGCAAGAAAAGUGCUCGCGAAGUGCGAAGCAUUACACAAAAGUAACGGUAAUGAUCAAGACUAAAAUACACGAAAUCGCGAACCGAGUUGAGUGCGAAACUAUGGCUUGAGUACAGGUCUACAUAUAACUUAUCCAUACGCGAUUAAUAUAGGCUCGUUCACU
RNAcentral lists this unclassified non-coding RNA (6838 nucleotides) under Bactrocera tryoni. RNAcentral's name for it is "mitogen-activated protein kinase kinase kinase, transcript variant X3". Lineage: Eukaryota; Metazoa; Arthropoda; Insecta; Diptera; Tephritidae. The record is from RNAcentral.